This 440-nucleotide ribosomal RNA is filed under the name uncultured bacterium. Its description in RNAcentral is "partial 16S ribosomal RNA". It matches the Rfam family "Bacterial small subunit ribosomal RNA", at positions 338 to 795 of the family's 1533-position model. The record is from RNAcentral.
CCUACGGGAGGCAGCAGUGGGGAAUAUUGCACAAUGGGGGAAACCCUGAUGCAGCGAAGCCGCGUGAGUGAGGAAGUAUUUAGGUAUGUAAAGCUCUAUCAGCGGGGAAGAAAAUGACGGUACGUGACUCAGAAGCCUCGGCUAACUACGUGCACGAAGCCGCGGUCAUACGUCGGGGGCAAGCCUUAUCCGGAUUUACUGGGUGUAAAGGGAGCGUAGAGGGUUAAUAAAGUUCGGAGUGAAUACCCAGGGCUCAAACCUGGGACUGCUUUUGAAACUGAGUAGCUAGAGUGCAGGAGAGGUACGCGGAAUUCCUAGUGUAGCGGUGAAAUGCGUAGAUAUUAGGAGGAACACCAGUGGCGAAGGCGGCGUACUGGACUGUAACUGACGUUGAGGCUCGAAAGCGUGGGGAGCAAACAGGAUUAGAUACCCUUGUAGUC